This 230-nucleotide ribosomal RNA is filed under the name uncultured bacterium. Its description in RNAcentral is "partial 16S ribosomal RNA". It matches the Rfam family "Bacterial small subunit ribosomal RNA", at positions 87 to 334 of the family's 1533-position model. The record is from RNAcentral.
CGGGUCUAGUGGCGCACGGGUGCGUAACGCGUGGGAAUCUGCCCCUCGGUUCGGAAUAACAGUUAGAAAUGACUGCUAAUACCGGAUAAUGACGAAAGUCCAAAGAUUUAUCGCCGAGGGAUGAGCCCGCGUAGGAUUAGCUAGUUGGUGGGGUAAAGGCCUACCAAGGCGACGAUCCUUAGCUGGUCUGAGAGGAUGAUCAGCCACACUGGGACUGAGACACGGCCCAG